UACGGAGGGUGCGAGCGUUAUUCGGAAUCACUGGGCGUAAAGCGCGCGUAGGCGGGUUGACAAGUCAGGUGUGAAAUCCCACGGCUCAACCGUGGAAUUGCCUUUGAAACUGCUGGGCUUGGAUCCUGGAGAGGGUGGCGGAAUUCCUGGUGUAGGAGUGAAAUCCGUAGAUAUCAGGAGGAACACCGGUGGCGAAGGCGGCCACCUGGACAGGUAUCGACGCUGAGGCGCGAAAGUGUGGGGAGCAAACAGG
RNAcentral lists this ribosomal RNA (253 nucleotides) under uncultured microorganism. RNAcentral describes it as "partial 16S ribosomal RNA". It matches the Rfam family "Bacterial small subunit ribosomal RNA", at positions 524 to 776 of the family's 1533-position model. The record is from RNAcentral.